Non-coding RNA from Pelobates cultripes (western spadefoot toad), 224 nucleotides. Lineage: Eukaryota; Metazoa; Chordata; Amphibia; Anura; Pelobatidae. The record is from the annotation of a GenBank genome assembly.
AGUGUCCUUUACCUGGCUAAUUAGGCAUCUGUUUCAGGUGGACUGAGAUUGACAGGAGGAGCCACAGGUAAAGUCCAACACCCUAGUGCUGGAGACAAGGUAAGAUUAACAUCAAGCUGAAACAUGAGCUGAGUGAGGCUCAGAGGCAAGACAGGAGGACUAAGGCAAAAAGGGUCCAGAGUUCCCCUUGGAGCCACCGGGUGGGUGACCAUAACUGGCCUUCC